AUGAACGCUGGCGGCGUGGAUAAGGCAUGCAAGUCAAGGGGCCCGCAAGGGCACCGGCAAACGGGGUAGUAACAGGUGGGAACGUACCUAGAAGUCAUGAAUAACCAGUCGAAAGAUUGGCUAAUACAUGAUGGUCUCUUCGGAGUAAAGAUUUAUCGCUUCUAGAACGGCCUGCCUCGUAUCAGCUAGUUGGUAAGGUAAUGGCUUACCAAGGCUAUGACGCGUAGGGGAGGUGAGAGCCUGACCCCCACCACUGGAACUGCGAUACUGUCCAGACACCUACGGGUGGCUGCAGUCGAGAAUCUUCCGCAAUGCACGAAAGUGUGACGGAGCGACGCCGCGUGAUUGAUGAAGUCCUUCGGGACGUAAAGAUCUUUUAUGAGGGAAGAAGUUAUUGACGGUACCUCAUGAAUAAGGGGCUGCUAAUCUCGU
Molecule: ribosomal RNA, 432 nt
Filed under: uncultured bacterium
Lineage: Bacteria
Description: bacterial SSU rRNA
Rfam family: Bacterial small subunit ribosomal RNA
Source: RNAcentral